UGGGGAAUUUUCCGCAAUGGGCGAAAGCCUGACGGAGCAAUGCCGCGUGGAGGUGGAAGGCCUACGGGUCGUCAACUUCUUUUCUCGGAGAAGAAACAAUGACGGUAUCUGAGGAGUAAGCAUCGGCUAACUCUGUGCCGG
Molecule: ribosomal RNA, 141 nt
Filed under: uncultured bacterium
Lineage: Bacteria
Description: partial 16S rRNA
Rfam family: Bacterial small subunit ribosomal RNA
Source: RNAcentral